GAACCAACACUCUCUUUGGUCUUCCCGCAAUCUCUUUUUCUCCCUCGCUCGCUCUUUGGUCUUCCCAUAAUCUCAAAACCCUAAAUAGAGAUUUUCAUUCCCAUAAAUCUUUUCUUUCUCUUUGUCGAAGAAGAAGAAAUCAGACUCAGAGAAGCUUCGGAUUCAUUGUAGAAGAAAACGAAGAAGGAGGAGGAGGAAUUGAGAUUUUGAUUUUGGUUUUGUUGAUUUGAUUUGGAAUAAAAAUGGUUUAGGGGAGAAGAUUGAGAGAGAGAGAGAUUAUAAGAAGGUGGAGAGAUCGGAAAUUGAUAGAGGUGGAUCAUUUGUUGUUGUUAGAAGGAUUUCACAAGGAUUUGAGAGACGUACUGCUAUGGUUAUCAUUCUCCUUCUGGUAUAUAUUCUUCUGGAAUUUGGUUUUCGUUUUGUGAAAUUGGGAUUUUGGCGAAUGGAUUUGUGGAUUUUGGUUCAGGGGAUUGUUUAUGUAUUAGCUAAUAGUAGUUCUCAACUUGUUAAAAUGUAUUUUGAGUGAAAUUGAGAUUACAGUUAAGAAAGAAAUCUUUGAUUUGGUAGUAUUGGGUGUUGGAUUGUUUGAUUCGGUAAUGAUAUAGUAGUGUGUAGGCGUACAGAUUAAGUUUUUGGAAGUUUGGCAAUUUCUUGCACCCACUAGAACUCCAGUCUUUCGAGUGAUCUUUCACUGUGAGUUUGUGCACCCAAUUAGGAUCCAUUCCAGAGAUGAAAUAGUUCCAUUUGUCUUUUGAGAAGGGAAAAUGCAACAGUAGAUGACAUCUCCUACUGUUCAAAUUUCCCACUGUGGGAACAACAUUCUGUACAGCUAACCAAGCAAAAUGAAGAAACGAGGCAGACAAGGAAGUUUGCAAGGGAAGAAUGCUAACGAUUACAUGAGUAGCGGGGUUCCUACUAGCAAUCAGAACCAGCAAGCCAUUACUAGUGGCCAGCAGAUUCUACAGUCAAUUGUAGCUCGAGGUUCCAAUGCAAGAACGGAUAGUAAGGUGUAUCGGAGUAUGUAGAAGCCCCACUUGCGAUGCCCCAAGUAAAGGAGUUAUUUCUCGUGAUGAGUGUGACGAUGAAGACUAUGUGAUUCGUAAUGGUGUACAUGGUUUUGCUGAGUAUGUAGAAGUCCCACCUUGGAUUCCCCAAGUCCCUCAUAUCCCGGUAGUCGGCCCAAAGUGGAUUAUGCAGGUCCCAAAGUGGAUUAUGCAGGUCUGUUCGAUUUGUGCAGCAAAUUAAUUGGGUACCUCUUUAAAGAGGUCGCAUAUUAUUAAUUGGGUACCUUGUUAACACUGUCGCA
Long non-coding RNA from Papaver somniferum (opium poppy), 1306 nucleotides. RefSeq lists it as uncharacterized. Lineage: Eukaryota; Viridiplantae; Streptophyta; Magnoliopsida; Ranunculales; Papaveraceae. The record is from RefSeq and is a predicted model, not a curated record. The transcript has 2 exons.